UCUUUAACUUUGAAUACCAGACAUAGUCAGGUGUCUGCCGUUUUUUGGAAUUUGGUAGAGACUGUUACAUGUCUGGCACAUAAUAUAAUGAGAGUGAAUCCAACAAAUAUGAGUUUUCUAUUUUGUUGGAUAAGAUCUCUUUGGAAGGUGUCCAUCGUUGCCCGGUAAUAUACUUUGUUAUUAUUUGAGCUACAUCUGGAUUCCACAUCACAAUUUCUGCCUCUCACGCUCUGUUUUAUCUUCGACAAAAUCGUUCUUAUAUUAUUUGCAUUGUUAAAUUUCAUUGUUGUAUGCAUAUUCACAGACAACUUUAGUUAUUUGAAGUUCUGCUAUUGGUGCCUGAAUACCCAUGUUAGUUUUUUUUUUUCCUUUUUUGCUAAACAAUUAACAGAUAUAGUUUGAGACAUCUUUAACUUUGAAUACCAGACGUAGUCAGGUGUCUUCCGUUUUUUGGAAUUUGGUAGAGACUGUUACAUGUCUGGCACAUAAUAUAGAGGGUGAAUCCAACAAAUAUGAGUUUUCUAUUUUGUUGGAUAACAUCUCUUUGGAAGGUAUCCAUCGUUGCCCAGUAAUAUACUUUGUUAUUAUUUGAGCUACAUCUGGAUUCUACAUCACAAUUUCUGCCCCUCACCAAUCUUUGUUUCUUUCAACAAAAACAUUAUUCCUGCUGUUAGAAUCUAUAUUUGUCUUCGUAUUCAAACAAGUUUAAUUAUUGCAAGCUUCUGUUAUGGCUAUUGAAUACCAUUUUUAGUUUUUAUUUAUUUAUUUAUUUAUUGCUAAACAAUUAUUAGAUGAAAACAAGUUAUUUCAUUUUUGUACUUAGAAUACCAGACAUAGUCAGGUGUCUGCCUUUUUUGGAAAUUUGGUAGAGACUGUUACAUGUCUGGCACAUAAUAUACUGAGGGUGAAUCCAACAAAUAUGGGUUUUCUAUGUUGUUGGAUAACAUCUCUUUCGAAGGUGUCCAUCGUUGCCCAGUAAUAUACUUUGUUAUUAUUUGAGCUACAUCUGGAUUCCACAUCACAAUUUCUGAGCCUCACUGACCUUUGUUCGCUUAAGCUAAAUCAUAUUUACAGUAUUCCUGUUGUUUAAUUAUUCAUAUUCAAACAAGUUUAAUUAUUGCAAGUUCCUAUUAUUGUGCUUGAAUAAACUUGUUUGUAUGCUUUUCUUUUUGGCUAAACAAAUAUUAGAGGAAAACAAUGAGAUUUUUUUACCUAGUAAGGUUACGUGUAUGCUUUCUUUGGAAAUUCGGUACAGAAUGUUACUUGUCUGUCAUAAUAUUUACCUAGAGUGAGUCUGAUAAAUGUGAGUGUUCAUGUUGUAUUCUAACAUCUCUUAGAAAGGUGUCCGUCCAUCUUUGCCCUAUAGCUUGUUUUGCUAAUUAUUUGAGCUACAUUUGGAUUUCAACAUGGCAAAACCUUAGCCUCGCUUUCCCUUUCCUUUAACCUUGGAAGUACCGAAAGGGAAGUCAUCUGUAGCCAAAUCAACCGUCGGUAGAAACAGGCUUUCAUGCAGUCCUUUAAGUAUUUAGUGAUUGUAAUAAAAGCGUUCUUUUUCUUUUAUCCAUUUAUGAUUAUGUAUACAAGGGUGUGUGGAUUAUGUGUACACAGGUUGGAUAGUAGAGCUGAACAAGAAGCUUGAAUAAUGUGAGACUAAGAUUGUGGUCAUACCCUGUUUGACAUUUAUUUUGUAUGAUGGUUUGAUGCAGCUAUAGAGUAUUUAAUAGGAUAUAGGUUCUAUUUGUCUUUUUAAGUAGUCAUUUAUAGGAACCUCGUAUGGAUCUUUUAUAUAUUGAACAAUGUAGUACUGCACGAAUGGAUAUAUAGGAAUACAAAUUUGAUGCUCAUGAUAUGAUCUUCUACAUCUAUAUAGGAAUACAAACUGGUCUCAUUAUUGAAUUAUUAUGAAUUUUAAAGAAAACGUUAAACAUCAAAAUAUUUCAAUUUAUUUAAGAUGGAUUGGUUUUGUAACCAAAUCUUUACA
RNAcentral lists this long non-coding RNA (1981 nucleotides) under Vigna radiata. Its description in RNAcentral is "long non-coding RNA (VRAD_LNC003221)". Lineage: Eukaryota; Viridiplantae; Streptophyta; Magnoliopsida; Fabales; Fabaceae. The record is from RNAcentral.